GACGAACGCUGGCGGCGUGCUUAACACAUGCAAGUCGAACGGAAAGGCCCUGCUUUUGUGGGGUGCUCGAGUGGCGAACGGGUGAGUAACACGUGAGUAACCUGCCCUUGACUUUGGGAUAACUUCGGGAAACUGGGGCUAAUACCGGAUAGGAGCUCCUGCUGCAUGGUGGGGGUUGGAAAGUUUCGGCGGUUGGGGAUGGACUCGCGGCUUAUCAGCUUGUUGGUGGGGUAGUGGCUUACCAAGGCUUUGACGGGUAGCCGGCCUGAGAGGGUGACCGGCCACAUUGGGACUGAGAUACGGCCCAGACUCCUACGGGAGGCAGCAGUGGGGAAUAUUGCACAAUGGGCGGAAGCCUGAUGCAGCAACGCCGCGUGCGGGAUGACGGCCUUCGGGUUGUAAACCGCUUUCGCCUGUGACGAAGCGUGAGUGACGGUAAUGGGUAAAGAAGCACCGGCUAACUACG
Molecule: ribosomal RNA, 466 nt
Filed under: uncultured bacterium
Lineage: Bacteria
Description: partial 16S ribosomal RNA
Rfam family: Bacterial small subunit ribosomal RNA
Source: RNAcentral